Molecule: ribosomal RNA, 996 nt
Filed under: Pedobacter sp. CB 286401
Lineage: Bacteria; Pseudomonadati; Bacteroidota; Sphingobacteriia; Sphingobacteriales; Sphingobacteriaceae
Description: bacterial SSU rRNA
Rfam family: Bacterial small subunit ribosomal RNA
Source: RNAcentral
AAUGGGCUUGCUCAUUGGGAAAGUGGCGCACGGGUGCGUAACGCGUAUGCAACCUACCUUAAUCAGGGGGAUAGCCCGAAGAAAUUCGGAUUAACACCGCAUAAAAACACAGGAUAGCAUUAUCCAAUGUUCAAAUAUUUAUAGGAUUAAGAUGGGCAUGCGUGUCAUUAGCUAGUUGGCGGGGUAACGGCCCACCAAGGCGACGAUGACUAGGGGAUCUGAGAGGAUGACCCCCCACACUGGUACUGAGACACGGACCAGACUCCUACGGGAGGCAGCAGUAAGGAAUAUUGGUCAAUGGAGGCAACUCUGAACCAGCCAUGCCGCGUGCAGGAAGACAGCCCUCUGGGUCGUAAACUGCUUUUAUUCGGGAAUAAACCACAUUACGUGUAGUGUGCUGAAUGUACCGAAGGAAUAAGGAUCGGCUAACUCCGUGCCAGCAGCCGCGGUAAUACGGAGGAUCCAAGCGUUAUCCGGAUUUAUUGGGUUUAAAGGGUGCGUAGGCGGCUUAUUAAGUCAGGGGUGAAAGACGGUGGCUCAACCAUCGCAGUGCCCUUGAUACUGAUGAGCUUGAAUACACUAGAGGUAGGCGGAAUGUGACAAGUAGCGGUGAAAUGCAUAGAUAUGUCACAGAACACCGAUUGCGAAGGCAGCUUACUAUGGUGUGAUUGACGCUGAGGCACGAAAGCGUGGGGAUCAAACAGGAUUAGAUACCCUGGUAGUCCACGCCCUAAACGAUGAAUACUCGCUGUUAGCGAUACACAGUUAGCGGCUAAGCGAAAGCGUUAAGUAUUCCACCUGGGGAGUACGCCCGCAAGGGUGAAACUCAAAGGAAUUGACGGGGGCCCGCACAAGCGGAGGAGCAUGUGGUUUAAUUCGAUGAUACGCGAGGAACCUUACCCGGGCUUGAAAGUUAGUGAAUCAUUUAGAGAUAGAUGAGUGAGCAAUCACACGAAACUAGGUGCUGCAUGGCUGUCGUCAGCUCGUGCCGUGAGG